RNAcentral lists this unclassified non-coding RNA (4257 nucleotides) under Homarus americanus (American lobster). RNAcentral describes it as "uncharacterized LOC121857527, transcript variant X2". Lineage: Eukaryota; Metazoa; Arthropoda; Malacostraca; Decapoda; Nephropidae. The record is from RNAcentral.
UGGAAUGGAGGGGAGGGGAGGUCAGGUGUUGCUUCUAUUUGUAGGUAGAAAAUGUCUCACCACCGUCGACUUGAGGAUCUACGUCACCUAACGAAUAAACUGACAAAAUGGAAAACGGAAAUCUCCUCAAGUUCCAGAUAUUCAGACUCCUUAACGGUCCGGUGCAUCAGGCGUUCGUGUACCUCUUUCACCAGACAUACACCCAGGAUACAGACGUUUACAGCUGCGCGGUUAAAUGCGGCUUGACGGAAUUCUUCACCGAGACGGAGCUGUCGGCCCUACGUCACGAGAAGCGACCUACGCGACACAGUCUCCCGUUACUGUUCACCAUCCUCAAGACGUGCUGUCACCCCUCGCUGGCUCCCCCUGACAGUCCUAUCUGGAACGACGCGCGUCACAUACCCACAGAUCAGCUCUCGAACGAGGCGCCCGUCGAGAAUCUCCUGGUGACGUUCCUGAAGACUUACGAGGAAUUUUGCACCAAUGCCCCGCUCUCUCAGGAACGCUUCGACGAGAAAAUAUCCGAGAUAACACGCUGGCUGGAGUGGUUGAUCGAGGGAGCCGGGAGACACGACAUUACCGGCAGAUGGAGGGAAGACUUGCAGAGAAUAAUGGCUGGUUUUCAGGACGUGUUGUCGGGGGAGAGACGUAAGAGUUCCUCGGCAGAGAUUACCGUGGAUGUUGCAGUGGAGCUUCGUAUGCGUCAUCAGCUGUAUCGAGAGCCAGAGCUGGACCCCCUGUUGCUGUGGCUGACUAAGGCUAAAGAGAUUCCUAAGAAGAGGACUCGAAAGAUAACCAUUCCAGACCCGGGCCAGAACAUAGGUGUGGCGACCCUAGUGACCGGACUCGCUGCCGACGACGAGAGCUCCCACGGCACGGUUUGUCUCGUCAGAGGAGAGGCGGGGUGUGGCCGGUCGUGUCUGGCUACGCUGCUGGCGUCGUCUUGGACGCAGAAGGACGAGCGGGUCAGUCUGAUAGGCAGUUACCAGGCAACCAUUGUCGUGUCUGGCACGGCCUUUGUGUCGAACGAAGAGGAUUUCGUCUGCGUGAUUCUUCCUCUGUGCUCGACGACUCACGGCGCGGAUAAAGUGAGGACGUGGUUGAGAGAAGUUCACGUACUGCUGGUGAUCGACGACGCCGAAGAGUUGAGCACAGAACGUACUCAAGAGGUAAAGGACCUCGUCACCGGAUCCCAGUCUCUGUCCGCGGUGAUGUUAGCUCUACCCUCGUGCUAUGACAGCCUACGACGGGAUUGGGCCGACCUCGCACCGGUGAGGUUACAUCUGAACGGUUAUAAUCGGGAGGAAAUCGUCACCCUGGCCGAAGAAUACGUCGGCCGGAGAGCAUCGACGGCGGACCCGAAAUGCUUGAAAAAAUAUCUGACAAAAAACCUGUGUAGACUGAGUCAGGUGUUGAAGUACCCCGACUCUCUCGUACAGGCGUGCGAGUGUUAUAUGGAGAGGCCGGACGCGUACGACGACAUAACCACGUCCACCGACAUGCUCUGGACCCUCACACUGUGGAGAAUUAACAAAGCGGUCGGUAGCCCGGAGGGAACCAUCGGCACUAAGGCAUUACAGUGGCUUAUGAUGGCAGGACGAAAAUCUCUAGAAGCUUUCAGGAAAAAUAAAAGAUUGGAAGGUGACAUAAUGUUGGAGCUGGAGACAGAAACCUCAAACAUGUUCCCCGAGUCGGUGGGUCGGACUCUAGUGUCGAGCGUGUUCAAGCAGCGUCAUUAUUACGGGGCAUGCGGGAGAGGCUUCAGCUCGGUGCACGCCGUUCAGCAGGAGUUUCUCGCUGCUUGGUACGCGGUUCACAAGAUCGUCGAGUUUAAAAAGUGGCGGCAGUUAGUGGGAGACUCGCAGUGCGCCUACCGGCUGGCACUGUUUAUAGGGGGUCUCCUGUCUAAAAUGAAAAGGUGGUCUCGUAAUUUAUCCGAGUUGGACGAGCGAAGGGCUAUCGGUUCGGUGCUCAACCACGGGGAGGAGAGCAGCGAGAACCUGACCUUUAACCUAGACCUGGUCGCCGAGGUGAAGGGAGCGCCGCAGGUGGUGGAGUACAUUGUGGAGAUGUCGGAGUACCCGGACGAGUGGAACGUCAGCGCCGCCGACGUUCAGCUCAUUCCUCUCGAGGCUCUGCUGAUGAACGUCGCUCCCACCAGAAUAUUUCUAAACGUGGAGGAACUUAAGCCGUACUCAGAGUUAAGUAAGGUCAUCGGGUUCCUGUGUCGAGUGGAUAUAUUCGUGUGGCUCGACAGCAGUUCUCAGUACAGGUACGGCAACGACGGCAAAAUGGACCGCAUCGUUAAAGCAUUUUUUACCGAACACGUCAUGGCCAAAGUCGAUUUACUGGCCGGGUGCGUGUCGCUGAAGGUGAUGCGCGAGUUUCCAUCUAAAGCGGCCUUCAGUCACCUGGUGUAUAUAAAGAUGCGCGUCCUGGACAAGAAAUGUCUCUCUACAUUACUGGACAUAAAUAAAUACCUUCAAAAGCUACUGUGGCUGGAGGCUAAGAUAGAUUUUCCGAUCUUGGAUGAGGAAAUAAACGACUUGCCUUGUUCUACGGUGCCCCUGAUGGACGUCCACCUGCAGGGUAUAGAAGACUCCUCUGUGGCCAAACUCGUCAACCUCCUUGGUACUCUUCACACCUCUUACACAGGGAUCCACUUGGAGAACACAACCUUUACUCCCGAGGGUUUGUUCGUUCUCCUUAAGCAGCUGCAGAAGAGAGACAUCCGCUUGUAUUCGGAACCUGAGUCGAGGGAACGCUUCAGGCGAUGGUAUUACCCCCAAUUGUCGGCCUGCGAUCCCUCCGUCAAGCUGACCGACGAGAUGGCGAAGGAGAUGCUGGGCUACGACGACCGCAUCUACUACAGCAACCACGUCGUGACCUCCUCGUGCUUCGCGCUGGCUCUCGACGCCUGGAACUUGAUGUCGUACCUGGAGGAACAACAAGACAUUGUACACUUCACUUACAAAACAGAAAAUCUUUCCUUCCUCAAAAAGCUCGACGGAUCGGUCACCAUCGAAGCUCAUAACGAAAACCUGAACUAUAAAAUGACGUAGGAAAUGAGUUACGAAAUGGGGUUAAUGACGUAGGAAAUGAGUUACGAAAUGGGGUUAAUGACGUAGGAAAUGAGUUACGAAAUGGGGUUAAUGACGUAGGAAAUGAGUUACGAAAUGGGGUUAAUGACGUAGGAAAUGAGUUACGAAAUGGGGUUAAUGACGUAGGAAAUGAGUUACGAAAUGGGGUUAAUGACGUAGAAAUGAGUUACGAAAUGGGGGUUAAUGACGUAGGAAAUGAGUUACGAAAUGGAGUUAAUGACGUAGGAAAUGAGUUACGAAAUGGGGUUAAUGACGUAGGAAAUGAGUUACGAAAUGGAGUUAAUGACAUAGGAAAUGAGUUACGAAAUGGGGUUAAUGACGUAGGAAAUGAGUUACGAAAUGGGGUUAAUGACGUAGGAAAUGAGUUACGAAAUGGGGUUAAUGACGUAGGAAAUGAGUUACGAAAUGGGGUUAAUGACGUAGGAAAUGAGUUACGAAAUGGGGUUAAUGACGUAGGAAAUGAGUUACGAAAUGGGGUUAAUGACGUAGGAAAUGAGUUACGAAAUGGGGUUAAUGACGUAGGAAAUGAGUUACGAAAUGGGGUUAAUGACGUAGGAAAUGGGUUACGAAAUGGGGUUAAUGACGUAGGAAAUGGGUUACGAAAUGGGGUUAAUGAAAUAGGAAAUGAGUUACGAAAUGGGGGUUAAUGACGGAGGAAAUGAGUUACGAAAUGGGGGUUAAUGACGUAGGAAAUGAGUUACGAAAUGGGGUUAAUGACGUAGGAAAUGAGUUACGAAAUGGAGUUAAUGACGUAGGAAAUGAGUUACGAAAUGGAGUUAAUGACAUAGGAAAUGAGUUACGAAAUGGGGUUAAUGACGUAGGAAAUGAGUUACGAAAUGGGGUUAAUGACGUAGGAAAUGAGUUACGAAAUGGGGUUAAUGACGUAGGAAAUGAGUUACGAAAUGGGGUUAAUGACGUAGGAAAUGAGUUACGAAAUGGGGUUAAUGACGUAGGAAAUGAGUUACGAAAUGGGGUUAAUGACGUAGGAAAUGAGUUACGAAAUGGGGUUAAUGACGUAGGAAAUGAGUUACGAAAUGGGGUUAAUGACGUAGGAAAUGGGUUACGAAAUGGGGUUAAUGACGUAGGAAAUGGGUUACGAAAUGGGGUUAAUGACGUAGGAAAUGAGUUACGAAAUGGGGUUAAUGACAUAGGAAAU